RNAcentral lists this transfer RNA (74 nucleotides) under Clostridioides difficile. Its description in RNAcentral is "tRNA-Ala". It matches the Rfam family "tRNA". Rfam says of the family: Transfer RNA (tRNA) molecules are approximately 80 nucleotides in length. Their secondary structure includes four short double-helical elements and three loops (D, anti-codon, and T loops). Further hydrogen bonds mediate the characteristic L-shaped molecular structure. tRNAs have two regions of fundamental functional importance: the anti-codon, which is responsible for specific mRNA codon recognition, and the 3' end, to which the tRNAs corresponding amino acid is attached (by aminoacyl-tRNA synthetases). tRNAs cope with the degeneracy of the genetic code in two manners: having more than one tRNA (with a specific anti-codon) for a particular amino acid; and 'wobble' base-pairing, i.e. permitting non-standard base-pairing at the 3rd anti-codon position. RNAcentral also lists the same sequence under 30 other names. The record is from RNAcentral. Lineage: Bacteria; Bacillati; Bacillota; Clostridia; Peptostreptococcales; Peptostreptococcaceae.
GGGGGAUUAGCUCAGUUGGGAGAGCGCCUGCCUUGCAAGCAGGAGGUCACGAGUUCGAAUCUCGUAUUCUCCAC